RNAcentral lists this ribosomal RNA (274 nucleotides) under uncultured bacterium. Its description in RNAcentral is "partial 16S ribosomal RNA". It matches the Rfam family "Archaeal small subunit ribosomal RNA", at positions 473 to 747 of the family's 1478-position model. The record is from RNAcentral.
AAACCAGCACCUCAAGUGGUCAGGAUGAUUAUUGGGCCUAAAGCAUCCGUAGCCGGCUCUGUAAGUUUUCGGUUAAAUCCAUUAGCUCAACUAAUGGGCUGCCGGAAAUACUGUAGAACUAGGGAGUGGGAGAGGUAGACGGUAUUCGGUAGGAAGGGGUAAAAUCCUUUGAUCUAUUGAGGACCACCUGUGGCGAAGGCGGUCUACCAGAACACGUUCGACGGUGAGGGAUGAAAGCUGGGGGAGCAAACCGGAUUAGAAACCCGGGUAGUCC